UAGUUUAUAAUGUAUAGUAGUGGGUUGUUAGUGAUAUGUAGAUGUUAUAUUAUGUAAAGUAGACUAGGUUAUAAUGUAUAGUAGUGGGUUGUUAGUGAUAUGUAGAUGUUAUAUUAUGUAAAGUAGACUAGGUUAUAAUGUAUAGUAGUGGGUUGUUAGUGAUAUGUAGAUGUUAUAUUAUGUAAAGUAGACUAGGUUAUAAUGUAUAGUAGUGGGUUGUUAGUGAUAUGUUAUAUUAUGUAAAGUAGACUAGGUUAUAAUGUAUAGUAGUGGGUUGUUAGUGAUAUGUAGAUGUUAUAUUAUGUAAAGUAGACUAGGUUAUAAUGUAUAGUAGUGGGUUGUUAGUGAUAUGUUAUAUUAUGUAAAGUAGACUAGGUUAUAAUGUAUAGUAGUGGGUUGUUAGUGAUAUGUAGAUGUUAUAUUAUGUAAAGUAGACUAGGUUAUAAUGUAUAGUAGUGGGUUGUUAGUGAUAUGUUAUAUUAUGUAAAGUAGACUAGGUUAUAAUGUAUAGUAGUGGGUUGUUAGUGAUAUGUUAUAUUAUGUAAAGUAGACUAGGUUAUAAUGUAUAGUAGUGGGUUGUUAGUGAUAUGUAGAUGUUAUAUUAUGUAAAGUAGACUAGGUUAUAAUGUAUAGUAGUGGGUUGUUAGUGAUAUGUAGAUGUUAUAUUAUGUAAAGUAGACUAGGUUAUAAUGUAUAGUAGUGGGUUGUUA
Oncorhynchus keta (chum salmon) is the source of this 710-nucleotide long non-coding RNA. RefSeq lists it as uncharacterized. The record is from RefSeq and is a predicted model, not a curated record. NCBI's taxonomy places the organism in Eukaryota, Metazoa, Chordata, Actinopteri, Salmoniformes, Salmonidae. The transcript is spliced from 3 exons.